AGGUGACAUUUAGUGAUGUGGCUAUAGACUUCUCUCAUGAAGAGUGGGCAUGCCUAGAUUCUGCUCAGAGGGACUUAUACAAGGAUGUGAUGGUCCAGAAUUAUGAGAACCUUGUCUCUGUAGGUCUUUCCAUAACUAAGCCAUAUGUGAUCACAUUGUUGGAGCAUGGGAAAGAGCCCUGGAUGGUGGAGAAAAAACUGUCAAAAGGUAUGAUUCCAGGUUGGGAAUCAAGAUGGGAAAACAAGGAAUUAUCAACAAAGAAGGAUAUUUAUAAGGAAGAUUCACUCCAAACAGUAACAAUAGAAAAAGUUUUAAAACAAAGUUAUGAAUUUUCAAAUUCUACCAAGAAUUUGGAACACAUAGAAAAGUUGGAAGGGAAGCCUGGAAUUCAUGUAGAACAUUUCAGACCAGCAACUCUCACCUCUAGAGAAAGCCCCACUGGGGACAGUUACAAAUAUGACACAUUUAGAAUCACCUUUCAUUCAAAGUCUACUCUUUCUGAACCAUAAAAAAAUUCUGCUAAAGGGAAUUCACACAAAUACAAUAUAUUAAAGAAGAAUUUACCAAAAAAGUCAGUUGUAAAAAAUGAGAGACUCAAUGGUGGAAAGAAACUCUUGAAUUCUAAUAAAAGUGGAGCAGCCGUUAACCAGAGCACCUCUCCUCACCACACUUAUAAUAGAGAAAGUCUAUACAUCUAGGGAAUGUGGGAAAGCCUUUGGCAAACAGUCAAUCCUCAAUCGCCACUGGAGAAUUCAUACAGGAGAGAAGCCCUGUGAAUGUCGUGAAUGUGGGAAGACUUUUAGCCACGGCUCAUCCCUUACACGACAUCAGAUAAGCCAUAGUGGAGAGAAACCUUACAAAUGUAUUGAAUGUGGGAAGGCCUUUAGCCAUGGCUCAUCACUUACUAACCAUCAGAGCACUCACACUGGAGAGAAACCAUAUGAAUGUAUGAACUGUGGAAAGUCUUUUAGGCGUGUGUCCCAUCUUAUUGAACAUCUAAGAAUUCAUACGCAAGAAAAACUCUAUGAGUGUCGUAUAUGUGGAAAGGCCUUCAUUCAUACGUCGUCUCUCAUUCACCAUCAGAAAAUCCAUACUGGAGAGAAGCCUUAUGAAUGUAGAGAAUGUGAGAAAGCUUUCUGCUGUAGCUCACACCUUACUCCACAUCAAAGAAUUCACACUAUGGAGAAACAAUAUGAAUGCAACAAAUGUCUGAAAGUCUUUAGUAGCCUCUCAUUUCUUGUUCAGCAUCAGAGUAUUCAUACUGAAGAAAAACCCUUUGAAUGUCAGAAAUGCAGGAAAUCCUUCAACCAGCUUGAAUCACUGAAUAUGCAUUUGAGAAAUCACAUUAGAUUGAAAUGUGAUUUCUAUCUAAUGAAUGCCAUAUAUGUGGGAAAGCCUUUAGUCAUAGGUCAUCCCUGCUUCAACAUCACAGAAUUCAUACUGGAGAGAAACCUUACGAAUGUAUUAAAUGUGGGAAGACCUUCAGCUGUAGUUCAAACCUUACCGUACAUCAGAGAAUUCAUACUGGAGAAAAGCCAUAUAAAUGUAGUGAGUGUGGGAAAGCUUUUAGCAAAGGCUCAAAUCUUACUGCCCAUCAAAGAGUACAUAAUGGAGAGAAACCCAAUAGUGUGGUAAGUGUGGAAAAGCCUUUAGACUAUAUGAAUCACUAUACAUGUGAGAAAUCUUACAGAAGAGAAUGUAUAUGAAGCAGUGUUUAUCAUGGUAAAGUUCAUUCAUAGAUCCUCAUUUAACAUCAGAAAAAAUUAUACUGGGGAAAAGUUUUAUGAAUGUAGUGAAUAUGGGAAGACUUUCAGCAAUGAUUCAGAUGUUUUUAUUUUUCAGAGUUUAUACUGUAGAGAAAUCAUAUGAAGACCAUAAAUGUGGGAAAGCCUUUGUCAGUAUUAACCCCUUAAUUGACAUAAGUAUACUCACACUAGGAUAAAACCCUGUACAUAUAGCAAAUGUGGGAAAGACUAUAGACAAUAGGAAUCUUUUACAAACUCCUACAGGAGAGAAGCUGUAUGAAUGUAGAAAAUUUAGAAAUUGAGGGAAGACUUCAGUUCCAAGUGCAUCCCUUAUUUUACAAAGAACUCAAACUGGAGAGAACUCUCAUUUAAGAGAUGUAGCCAAGUGUUCACUAAGAGUGUUUAUCUUGCUACACAUCAGAAGAUUAAUGGAAGAACAACCUGAAAGUUUUAGGAAUUACGUGUAAAUCUUUGCAGUGAUGCUAUUUGUAAACAGGGUUCUACAGGAGAGCAAAUAAAUGUCAUUAUGCAUUUCUUAGAGCAGUAGCUUGCAGUUUCAGUUGAGUUCUACUUAGAAAUUCUUUUUAGCUAGUGGGCAUGUGAAGAUAUUUAGUCACCCAGAGGAGCCAGUAAAUGUUAUAAUGUUAAAAAUUAAAGCUGCAAAAGAAAUAAAAUGGUGUGAAUAAAGGUUUUGGUAUCUAAUAAAAUCAUUUUGUAUCUCA
RNA transcript from Homo sapiens (human), 2467 nucleotides. It is a transcript of the gene named zinc finger protein 807, pseudogene, with no coding region annotated. Lineage: Eukaryota; Metazoa; Chordata; Mammalia; Primates; Hominidae. The record is from RefSeq and is marked validated.